RNAcentral lists this ribosomal RNA (701 nucleotides) under uncultured Pseudomonadales bacterium. RNAcentral describes it as "bacterial SSU rRNA". It matches the Rfam family "Bacterial small subunit ribosomal RNA", at positions 56 to 752 of the family's 1533-position model. The record is from RNAcentral. Lineage: Bacteria; Pseudomonadati; Pseudomonadota; Gammaproteobacteria; Pseudomonadales.
UGCAAGUCGAGCGGAUGAGGAGAGCUUGCUCUCUGAUUCAGCGGCGGACGGGUGAGUAAUGCCUAGGAAUCUGCCUGGUAGUGGGGGACAACGUUUCGAAAGGAACGCUAAUACCGCAUACGUCCUACGGGAGAAAGUGGGGGAUCUUCGGACCUCACGCUAUCAGAUGAGCCUAGGUCGGAUUAGCUAGUUGGUGGGGUAACGGCUCACCAAGGCGACGAUCCGUAACUGGUCUGAGAGGAUGAUCAGUCACACUGGAACUGAGACACGGUCCAGACUCCUACGGGAGGCAGCAGUGGGGAAUAUUGGACAAUGGGCGAAAGCCUGAUCCAGCCAUGCCGCGUGUGUGAAGAAGGCCCUCGGGUCGUAAAGCACUUUAAGCUGGGAGGAAGGGUUGUAACCUAAUACGUUGCAGCUUUGACGUUACCAGCAGAAUAAGCACCGGCUAACUCUGUGCCAGCAGCCGCGGUAAUACAGAGGGUGCAAGCGUUAAUCGGAAUUACUGGGCGUAAAGCGCGCGUAGGUGGCUUGGUAAGUUGAAUGUGAAAUCCCCGGGCUCAACCUGGGAACUGCAUCCAAAACUGCCUGGCUAGAGUACGGUAGAGGGUGGUGGAAUUUCCUGUGUAGCGGUGAAAUGCGUAGAUAUAGGAAGGAACACCAGUGGCGAAGGCGACCACCUGGACUGAUACUGACACUGAGGU